UGCUGAAUCAAGUGUCGAAGUCGUACCAGGAAUUCCUAGAGCCGGCCGUCCUAAGAAAGGGUAAAAGCGGCGGAACAGAGAGGGGUGCCGGGGAGGCAGCAGCAGGCCCAGCCGUGCCCUCAGCCGCAGCACUGAGGCCAGAGAAGGACAGCCUCUUGGAGCGCCGCAGUGUGCCUCU
Oryctolagus cuniculus (rabbit) is the source of this 178-nucleotide long non-coding RNA. It matches the Rfam family "FTX transcript, XIST regulator conserved region 5". NCBI's taxonomy places the organism in Eukaryota, Metazoa, Chordata, Mammalia, Lagomorpha, Leporidae. The record is from Rfam.